GUGUCUGUGGCCAGUGUAAGCCAUGGCUGGGGAGCAGCCCCCCGGGCACUGCCGUCACGGCCGCCGAGAAGCGGAGUCGGUGGUUGGCUUGGCAGGCAGAGGUUGGGGGAGGACGACGGGGUCUCCCAGCGGUGGGAAGACGGGGGCUUGGGCUCUUCAGGUUUCCUGGGUACUGUGCUGAGGCAGGGGCUAGGCCUGGAGGGGGCAGUGGCCCUCUAUUCCAGGAGGCCGCCUGGGAAGGGAUCCACCAAGAUGGCAGACAGUGGUCAGCCCAGCAGAGGGUGGGCUUGGGAAGAGUGGACGGGACUUGUGAGGGGAGAUGAGCCCUGGUAUAGCUAGAUACCUUUUCUCACAUGCCAGCUCUUUUCCAUUCUUUCAUUUUCAAAUUAGAGGCAGCAAAAGGACCCUUUUCCAUUGACCGAGGGAGAGAGAAAGCUGCCGGGUGGGCCAUGGCCUUCAGCUUUGAAACCCACGCCCUCCUGGGAAGCCUACUUUCUUGGGACGGAAGGAUGGGAGCUGUUGGCCGAGGCAGCCUGCUGUCCUUGGGGCUGAGGGCACCAGGAGUGGCCUGGAGCACAGGUAGAAGCCUGCAGGCGGCCUGGCCCGUGCUUUCGUGGGCAGCGUGGUGGGGAGGGAACUUGUGGCUCUCGGUUCUCGGUGUGGGAGGCUGUGAACGCGGCAAGUGCUGGGCGUCAGAGCAGAGUUCUGAGCAGGACCACACGUGUGUGUAUACGUACACGUGAGUGCGAGUGUGCGCUGUGACACGCACUCUAGUGUGGACUCGAGCACACACGUGCAGAGCCCGGAUCCGCGUGGAGGGACUGGCUCGUCCAGUAUUUCUAGGCCUGGGUACGUUCUUACCCCAGGGCCACAUGUAGAGUUGAAGGGGUACGGGCAGCAGACCUCGAACGCAAGGCAGCCCCACCCCCCUUGGCUUUGCUAAAACUGCUCUGCGGACAGACGGGGCAGAGGUGUCCCUGCAGGGGCUGUGCUUUGCCCUGCAGAGGCCCGGAGGUCCAUGCAGCCAAGGGCUAGACCUGCUGGGCGGACUCCUCAGAAGCAGCCAGUCCUGAAGACAGUAUUUACAGGGAGGGGUUCUGGGGGCUGGUGCCCCUUUGCCUACUGGGGCUCGUCCAUGCAGAGCAUCCAACAAAGUUGGAAACCGGAGUGGAGGGCCGGUGGGAUGGGUGAAAAACAGGCCAAAUUCAGGUCCCAAGGCAGAGGCCAAGCCCAGUGCAUUUUCCUGUCCACAGCUUCAGUUUACCUGUUCAGAAAAUGGUCCAGGAAGAGCUGGGCAGGGUUGGCUCCAAAACUGGGGGUGGGGAGGUGUAACAGCAAACAAAACCCCAAGCCCUCCACUUGCUCUUUGCCAAAAUCAUUUCCGUUAUCCUGAGAUGGGGGUGAGUGGAUGUUGGCUGCACAGCAGGGCUCAGGGGGGCCUCUGCCCUGCCCAGGGUUUCGCCUUGGGGGUCUGGCCCUCCCCUGGCAUGCCCCGGGUCACCAGCAGUAGCAGCGGCACUUGCGUCUGUCCCAAGGUCUGGGCGAGGGAAGAACAGGGGCAGCCCUGUACCCCAGGCCCUCACACUUUCUUUCUUUCUUGAAAAAACACAAAACCCUUGAGAUUCAUGUACUGUAUGACAGAGAGAAAAAAAGUACCUAAUGUUCCCCCCAAAAAAGACAGUAUAUUUUGUACUUUGUAAAGUGUUCAUUAAAAUGG
This 1717-nucleotide long non-coding RNA is filed under the name Phocoena sinus (vaquita). RNAcentral describes it as "lncRNA (ENSPSNG00000018833.1)". Lineage: Eukaryota; Metazoa; Chordata; Mammalia; Artiodactyla; Phocoenidae. The record is from RNAcentral.